Coffea eugenioides is the source of this 160-nucleotide long non-coding RNA. RefSeq lists it as uncharacterized. The transcript is spliced from 3 exons. The record is from RefSeq and is a predicted model, not a curated record. NCBI's taxonomy places the organism in Eukaryota, Viridiplantae, Streptophyta, Magnoliopsida, Gentianales, Rubiaceae.
AAAUAUGCUUUAUAGAUAGCACAGGUUCAGGAGAAAGGGUUUCCCCCCUAUGCAAUUAUUGAUGAUACGGGUGUGGAUUUUAAGAUCAAGCUGCUCACUGUUGGUGGGAAGAAGUUGAAGCUUACAAUUUGGGAUACCGCUGGACAAGAGAGGUUCGGGA